CCACACGCUUCCGCUUAAAAAGAGCAGAGGAUCUCUGCGCCGGGGUGGGGAGAAGCGGUAUCCUCACAGCUUUGUAAUGGGAAUACCCACCCUAAUCUGUUCUGAACUUGCAUGAAAAUGGAAGAAACACCUGUUAUUACGCCUCUCCACGCUUCAGUUUCUUCAGCAGUACUCCAGAGACGAUGAUUUGUAAGUGGAAAAAACUGAAAUCUCUACAGCCAGUGUAAGCCUGCCAACCUUUGCCUCCACUGAGUGCCCAGGAGAAUCAAAUGGAUCUGAUCCAGGCUUACAGUCAUAUCUCGAUUCAUCAUCUCUUCUCUUUCAAGAAAUAGUUUCCUACUACUAUUUAAGCAAAUCUUUGCAGAUUCGUGCUGGGUUAUCUCGUGUGCCAAGAGGAUUCUUGAUGCUGUGCAGUAAAUUGCUAAGAUUACAUUCGUUAACAUCAUCACCAAUCUCAUCAGAAAAAUCUCUGUGGUAGCCUUGAAAACCAACAGCCUGCAAUCGCAGUGAAAACAAGAAGCCUGGAACCCACAGGAGGGAGCAGAAUGGGGCUGGAGUUGCUUCAAAGCCUCAUUUCCAGUGAAAUGUCAUUAUUUGACCUUUCUGGUGGUUCCCUUAAAGACUUGCAAGACUGUCUGUAUUUUACCUGACUCAGAGCUCACUCAAUGCAAAAAGUCUUUCCCAAGGAACAUUAAAAAAAAAAAAUUAGAUGGAAUUGUUUAACUUUGUGGCUACUGGAAACAUUAGAAAACAGUUGGGGCAAACAAUAGGCUAAGAAAAGCUAGGGAAUGAGAUGUCCAUAGAGAUUCUAAAAAACUCUGACACAUUCCUGGGAAUCUAGAAGGCCAUGUGCAUGUAUAGGGCUGUGCACAUGAUCAGGAAAAACACAAGAAGGCCCUAAGUUCUCUCUUCUGGCUGACCUUCAGGCUCUGUGAAAAUAGGAAAUUAAAACUCGGGUAUAGUUGUCAAUUGCCUGGCUGAGCAUUGAAGGGAUGCCCCAACAUGCUCACAGAGACCCUUGGCAAAAACUGGGAGACUUACUGGUUCUGGCAUUUAAGGAAAUCUCUCUCCAAUCCUUAGCUGACCACUAAGCUACUGAGUAGAGACUUUAGUGGUCACAUAUGUGAAAGAAUACAGACUUUAUACCUUUAGGAAAAGUCACUAAACAAACAACAAAAACACAAAUAGCAACAAUAAACACUGAGGUUGGGGUGAAGAAUUUGACUUCCAGAGAUGCCAUUUUAUAUUAUUUAAAAUGUCCAGUUUUCAAGAAAAAAUAAGGCAUGCUGAGUAACAUUAAAGUAUGACCCCUAUACAUGGGAAAAAGCUAAGCAAUCAAUAGAAAUAGAAAUUGUCCCUGAGGAAGCCCAGAUGUUGAACUUAGUAGACAAAACUUUAGCUAUUUUAGGUAUGUUCAAAGAACUAAAGUAAACCAUGUCUACAGAACUAAAGGAAGUACAAAAAAGAUGUCUUACCAAAUAAAAAAUAUAAAGAGGAAAUUAUAGAAAAGAACCAAGUAGAAGUUUUGUAGUUGAACAAUAACUGAAAUCAAAAUUUACUAGAGAGGCUCAACUGUAGAUUUCAGUAGAUAGAAGAAAGAAUCAGUGAACCUGAAAACAGUUUAUUGAGAUUAUCCAGUCAGAGGCGUAUAAAGAAAAAUGAAACAAAAUGAACAGGCUCAGAGACAUACAGGACAUCAUAAAACAUACCAAUGCAUGAAUGAUGGGGGAGUCUCAGAAGAGAAGAAGAGAGAAAUAGGGGUAGAAAGAAUAUUUCAAAAAAUAAUGGCUGAAAAUGUGCCAAAUUUGAUGAAAAACAUUAAUCUCCACAUCCAAGAAGCUCGAUGAAUUCCCCUAGGCACAUCAUAAUCAAACUGUUGAAAGCUGAAGACAAAGAGAGAAUCCUGAAUGCAAAGAGAAGAGACUCAUCAAUCCAAGGGAUGAGAUUUUUUUCAUCAAAAACCAUA
Molecule: long non-coding RNA, 1966 nt
Organism: Balaenoptera acutorostrata (minke whale)
Lineage: Eukaryota; Metazoa; Chordata; Mammalia; Artiodactyla; Balaenopteridae
Exons: 6
Source: RefSeq, a predicted model, not a curated record